This 72-nucleotide transfer RNA is filed under the name Ovis aries (sheep). It matches the Rfam family "tRNA". Rfam says of the family: Transfer RNA (tRNA) molecules are approximately 80 nucleotides in length. Their secondary structure includes four short double-helical elements and three loops (D, anti-codon, and T loops). The record is from Rfam by way of RNAcentral. Lineage: Eukaryota; Metazoa; Chordata; Mammalia; Artiodactyla; Bovidae.
UCCCUGUUGGCUCAAAUGGUAAAGAAUCUGCCUGCAGUGCGGGAGACCCAGGUUCGAUCCCUGGGUUGGGAA